UGGGGAAUAUUGCACAAUGGGGGAAACCCUGAUGCAGCGACGCCGCGUGAGCGAUGAAGGCUUUCGAGUCGUAAAGCUCUGUCCUAUGGGAAGAUAAUGACGGUACCAUAGAAGAAAGCCCCGGCUAAUUACGUGCCAGCAGCCGCGGUAAUACGUAAGGGGCGAGCGUUGUCCGGAAUUAUUGGGCGUAAAGAGUGCGUAGGCGGCAAAUUAAGUCAGAUGUGAAAACUAAGGGCUCAACCCAUAGAUUGCAUCUGAAACUGAUAUGCUUGAGUCAAGGAGAGGAAAGUGGAAUUCCUAGUGUAGCGGUGGAAUGCGUAGAUAUUAGGAGGAAUACCGGUGGCGAAGGCGACUUUCUGGCCAUAUACUGACGCUGAGGUACGAAAGCGUGGGUAGCAAACAGG
RNAcentral lists this ribosomal RNA (404 nucleotides) under Verrucomicrobiota bacterium. RNAcentral describes it as "Verrucomicrobia bacterium partial 16S ribosomal RNA". It matches the Rfam family "Bacterial small subunit ribosomal RNA", at positions 355 to 776 of the family's 1533-position model. Lineage: Bacteria; Pseudomonadati; Verrucomicrobiota. The record is from RNAcentral.